Molecule: RNA transcript, 1973 nt
Organism: Salvia miltiorrhiza (redroot sage)
Lineage: Eukaryota; Viridiplantae; Streptophyta; Magnoliopsida; Lamiales; Lamiaceae
Gene name: tubulin beta-1 chain-like
Exons: 5
Source: RefSeq, a predicted model, not a curated record
UGUGAUGAUGCCUUUUGGUAUCAGAUCUGGGAAUUUCGUUUCCAACGCUCCACUCACCGCCGUCCAGCAACUCGUCCCGCCUCCCCACCGUCUAUCCACUGCUGCGCCUGGCCUCGCCGUCGCCGUCGAUUGCAGCGCCUAGCCUCGCCGCGCUGCUGCGCCUCUCCUCGCUGCGCCGCGUAUUGCUACUCCUCGCCUCGCCGCACUGUCGAUUGCUGCGCCUCGACUCGCCAUCGAUUGCUGCCACCCAUUGAGAUCUCUAAAUCCUGACGCCUCACCCCCCUCGUCGCUCGACUGCACCUCCGCCUCAUUGUCUACGCUAUCACCAGGUACACCAUUUUCGACAGCACCAAACGGAGCAGCUUAUUAGGUUAAGUGGUUUUGAGUAUUCUUUGUUUUUUAAUUUGCUAAUGUAGUUGUGAUACCUAUAAUUUCUUCACUUUGUCUCUGCACUUCAAUUUGCUAAGGUUUUUGUUAAGUUCUUCAAUUUGUCUCUACAUUUGCUAAGGUUUUUGUUUGAGAAUUUUGAAGAACCGAGAGUCUUGGAAAAGAGAGGAUUUGAACCGAGAGUCAGCCACACACACACUACUGCAUUCUUCAAUUUCUGCUGUGAAACGUUUAAAUAACGUGAUUGGUUUGUUAGAUUUAAAUAACGAUUUAACCUAUGCAGGAAUUGCAAAACUAUCCUCGUUAGAUUAUACUUGACUCGGUGUUUCUGUAAAUUUUGAUUUUUUUCUUUACCUGUAUUUGUUUUGGCUUGGUUAACUAAGUAAUACUUCUGAAUAAAUUGUAAUUGGCUAAAUUUCAGGAAGUACUCGUACUUCUUUGUUUAUGUUUUGAACUCAUGUUGUGCAUGUGGUGUAGCAUCUAAUACAAAUAAGAAGAUUUCAGAGCUAGAUGUAUACACUGUUUCUGUCACUUUAUGUUAUUUUUGUCAAUAGCUGAAUCCAGACUGUGGUGACCUCAGAAAUCUUAGUUCUUAGCUGUGGGAGGUAUAUUCAACCGGUAAAUCCUGAACUUCGUAGCUUCAUUCGUUCAACUGGCAUGAAACUAGAAGUAGUUGACUCUAGAAAUGCAGCCUCUACUUGCAAUAUAUUGAACGAAGAUGGCAGAAUAGUAGCUGCGGCGCUUAUCCCAUACAGUCAAGAAUGAAGAAUGAAAUAACCCUUAGUCAAUGAAAAAGAUAAUUUAUCUAUUUUGAAGUACUGCAGAAGAUGAUUAAUGUUUCCUCUGAAUACUGGUUUGAUUACCAGCUAUUUGUUUUAUGUUUCAGGUUUUCAGGUUUGCCACUCUCUAGGAGGCGGAACUGGAUCUGGAAUGGGAACUCUUCUAAUUUCUAAAAUCAGGGAGGAGUAUCCUGACAGGAUGAUGCUUACUUUCUCGGUCUUUCCCUCGCCUAAGGUCUCAGACACUGUUGUUGAGCCCUAUAAUGCUACCCUUUCUGUUCACCAGCUUGUUGAGAAUGCUGAUGAGUGUAUGGUGUUGGAUAAUGAAGGACUCUAUGACAUUUGCUUCAGAACUCUUAAGCUCACCACCCCAAGCUAAGUUGAUUUUCCACAAACAUCUUCUACCUGAUUGCUUGCAGAAGUUGAUUAUCCCAGAGGGUUUCCAGCAGGAAUACUGGGGGAAGCUUUGUGCUCCAUGACGGGCCUCCUUAUGCAAAUGGGGAUUUACAUAUGGGACAUGCCUUGAAUAAGAUUUUGAAGGAUAUUAUCAACCGCUAUAAGUUUUGCAGUCUAUGGAUCAGGAUGCUAGAAAGGAGCUCACACCACUAAAAUUGAGAGCAAAGGCAGCAAACAUAAUUUUGGAAGAAAUGUGUAGAAUACAUAAUAUGGCCCUCCACUUAUAGACAUAACUUCAAUGAGCUGACGAAUGUUUAUUCCAAUAUUGUAUUGGGUUUGAUGGAUACUUUUUCAAUGUAGGAUGAUAAAGAAUAUUUGAAAUUAAUGAAUGAUAUUUUUAUUAUUCGUGUA